AACGCUAGCUACAGGCUUAACACAUGCAAGUCGAGGGGCAGCAUGGUCUUAGCUUGCUAAGGCUGAUGGCGACCGGCGCACGGGUGAGUAACACGUAUCCAACCUGCCGUCUACUCUUGGCCAGCCUUCUGAAAGGAAGAUUAAUCCAGGAUGGGAUCAUGAGUUCACAUGUCCGCAUGAUUAAAGGUAUUUUCCGGUAGACGAUGGGGAUGCGUUCCAUUAGAUAGUAGGCGGGAUAACGGCCCACCUAGUCUUCGAUGGAUAGGGGUUCUGAGAGGAAGGUCCCCCACAUUGGAACUGAGACACGGUCCAAACUCCUACGGGAGGCAGCAGUGAGGAAUAUUGGUCAAUGGGCGAGAGCCUGAACCAGCCAAGUAGCGUGAAGGAUGACUGCCCUAUGGGUUGUAAACUUCUUUUAUAAAGGAAUAAAGUCGGGUAUGGAUACCCGUUUGCAUGUACUUUAUGAAUAAGGAUCGGCUAACUCCGUGCCAGCAGCCGCGGUAAUACGGAGGAUCCGAGCGUUAUCCGGAUUUAUUGGGUUUAAAGGGAGCGUAGAUGGAUGUUUAAGUCAGUUGUGAAAGUUUGCGGCUCAACCGUAAAAUUGCAGUUGAUACUGGAUAUCUUGAGUGCAGUUGAGGCAGGCGGAAUUCGUGGUGUAGCGGUGAAAUGCUUAGAUAUCACGAAGAACUCCGAUUG
RNAcentral lists this ribosomal RNA (696 nucleotides) under uncultured bacterium. Its description in RNAcentral is "bacterial SSU rRNA". It matches the Rfam family "Bacterial small subunit ribosomal RNA", at positions 32 to 715 of the family's 1533-position model. The record is from RNAcentral.